Molecule: ribosomal RNA, 3795 nt
Filed under: Triticum aestivum (bread wheat)
Lineage: Eukaryota; Viridiplantae; Streptophyta; Magnoliopsida; Poales; Poaceae
Description: partial small subunit ribosomal RNA
Source: RNAcentral
AUGGCGGAGGAGACAGGGAAGGCGGAGGCGUCGGCCGGGGCUGCGAGCUGCGGCGCCGGCGGCGGGUGCGAGGCGGUGAAGAAGAGGGCGGAGCAGAGUGUGGCGUUCCAUGAGCUGUUCAGCUUCGCCGACCCGCUCGACUGGCUGCUCAUGGCGGCGGGGAGCGCCGGCGCCGUCGUGCACGGCGCCGCCAUGCCGGUGUUCUUCCUCCUGUUCGGCGAGCUGGUCAACGGCUUCGGCAAGAACCAGCACCACCUCCGCCGCAUGACCGACGAGGUGUCCAAGUACUCGCUCUAUUUCGUCUACCUCGGCCUCGUCGUCUGCGCAUCCUCGUACCUGGAGAUCGCGUGCUGGAUGUACACGGGCGAGCGCCAGGUGGGCGCGCUCCGGCGGCGGUACCUGGAGGCCGUGCUGCGGCAGGACGUGGGCUUCUUCGACACCGACGCGCGCACCGGGGACGUCGUAUUCAGCGUCUCCACGGACACGCUCCUCGUCCAGGACGCCAUCGGCGAGAAGGUCGGCAACUUCAUCCACUACCUCGCGACGUUCCUGGCAGGGCUCGUGGUCGGGUUCGUCUCCGCCUGGCGGCUGGCGCUUCUCAGCAUCGCCGUCAUCCCGGGCAUCGCGUUCGCCGGCGGGCUCUACGCGUACACCCUCACCGGGCUCACCUCCAAGAGCCGGGACUCGUACGCCAACGCCGGAAUCAUAGCCGAGCAGGCGAUUGCCCAAGUGAGGACGGUCUACUCCUACGUGGGGGAGUCCAAGGCCCUGAAUUCCUACUCGGAGGCGAUUCAGAGCACCCUGAAGCUGGGGUACAAGGCCGGGAUGGCCAAGGGGCUUGGCAUUGGGUGUACCUAUGGGAUUGCCUGCAUGUCAUGGGCGCUGGUGUUCUGGUACGCUGGCGUGUUCAUCCGGAGUGGCCAGACAGACGGUGGAAAGGCGUUCACGGCCAUCUUCUCCGCCAUCGUCGGUGGCCUGAGCCUUGGACAGUCGUUCUCCAACCUUGGUGCAUUCAGCAAAGGGAAGAUUGCUGGUUACAAGCUGUUGGAGGUGAUAAGGCAGAGGCCAACGAUAGUCCAAGACUCAACUGAUGGGAGGUGCCUGGAUGAAGUCCAUGGCAACAUUGAGUUCAAGGAGGUGUCCUUCAGCUAUCCGUCCCGCCCGGACGUCACGGUGUUCCGUGACUUCUCGCUCUUCUUUCCCGCGGGGAAAACGGCAGCCGUGGUCGGAGGCAGCGGUUCUGGGAAGAGCACGGUCGUGUCUCUGAUAGAACGGUUUUACGAUCCUAAUCAGGGACAAGUUUUGCUCGAUAAUGCGGACAUCAAGUCGCUGCAAUUGAAAUGGCUGAGAGAUCAGAUUGGUUUGGUGAAUCAAGAACCUGCCCUCUUUGCAACCACCAUCAUUGACAAUAUUCUUUAUGGCAAGCCUGACGCCACAAUGGCUGAGGUUGAGGCCGCGGCUUCGGCUGCCAAUGCACAUAGCUUCAUUGCUCUUCUUCCUAAUGGGUACAACACUCAGGUGGGAGAACGAGGACUUCAGCUGUCCGGUGGCCAAAAGCAACGAAUUGCCAUUGCCCGUGCAAUGUUGAAGAACCCAAAGAUCCUUCUCCUUGAUGAGGCAACUAGUGCUCUUGAUGCUGGUUCUGAGAGUAUUGUUCAAGAGGCACUUGACCGCAUAAUGAUCGGUAGGACAACUGUGGUGGUUGCGCACAGGCUCUCAACCAUACGGAGUGUUGACAUGAUCGCCGUGAUCCAGCAAGGGCAGGUUGUUGAGACCGGUACUCAUGAUGAGCUCCUUGCCAAAGGCAGCUCUGGUGCUUAUGCAGCUCUCAUCAGAUUCCAGGAGAUGGCAAGAAACCGAGACUUCCGUGGGGCAUCCACCCGGAAGAACCGGUCAUCUCGCUUGAGCAAUUCGCUGUCCACUCGGUCACUGAGCCUCAGGUCAGGAAGCUUGAGGAACCUGAGCUACUCAUACAGCACCGGUGCGGAUGGCCGCAUUGAGAUGGUCUCGAACGCCGACAAUGACCGGAAGUACCCGGCGCCAAAAGGAUACUUUUUCAAGCUCCUCAAGCUAAAUGCUCCGGAAUGGCCCUAUACGGUGCUGGGGGCGAUCGGAUCCAUCAUGUCUGGCUUCAUUGGCCCGACAUUUGCUAUCGUGAUGAGCAACAUGAUUGAAGUGUUCUAUUUCCGGGACCCCAACGCGAUGGAGCGCAAGACUAGGGAGUAUGUGUUCAUCUACAUCGGAACCGGGUUCUACGCGGUUGUCGCGUACCUGAUCCAGCACUACUUCUUCAGCAUCAUGGGCGAAAACCUGACCACCAGGGUGCGGAGGAUGAUGCUUGCAGUUAUCUUGAGGAACGACGUGGGGUGGUUCGACGAGGAGGAGAACAACUCGAGCCUGGUCGCGGCACGGCUCAACACUGAGGCCGCGGACGUGAAGUCGGCGAUAGCGGAGCGGAUAUCGGUCAUCUUGCAGAACAUGACAUCGCUCCUGGUGUCCUUCAUUGUCGGCUUCAUCAUCGAAUGGCGGGUUGCCAUCCUCAUCCUCGUCACCUUCCCUCUCCUUGUCCUCGCCAACUUUGCUCAGCAACUGUCGAUGAAGGGGUUCGCCGGCGACACGGCCAAGGCGCACGCCAAGACGAGCAUGAUCGCCGGGGAGGGCGUCAGCAACAUCCGCACCGUGGCGGCCUUCAACGCGCAGGACAAGAUCCUGUCCCUCUUCUGCAGCGAGCUGCGCGUGCCCCAGAUGCACAGCCUGCGCCGGAGCCAGAUCUCCGGCGUGCUCUACGGCCUCUCGCAGCUCUCCCUCUACGCCUCCGAGGCGCUCAUCCUCUGGUACGGCGCCCACCUCGUCCGCCACCACGUCUCCACCUUCUCCAGGGUCAUCAAGGUCUUCGUCGUGCUCGUCAUCACCGCCAACUCCGUCGCCGAGACCGUCAGCCUCGCGCCCGAGAUCAUCCGCGGCGGCGAGUCCGUCCGCUCCGUCUUCGCCGUCCUCAACAGCAGGACGCGCAUCGACCCCGAUGAGCCGGAGGCCGAGCAGGUGGAGAAGGUUCGCGGUGAGAUCGAGCUCCGCCACGUCGACUUCGCCUACCCGUCGCGCCCGGACGUGAUGGUCUUCAAGGAGUUCAGCCUGAGGAUCCGAGCUGGCCAGAGCCAGGCGCUCGUGGGAGCGAGCGGGUCAGGGAAGAGCACCGUCAUCGCUCUCAUCGAGCGUUUCUAUGAUCCCAUGGCCGGGAAGGUCAUGAUCGACGGCAAGGACAUCCGUCGGCUCAACUUGAAGUCUCUCCGUCUCAAGAUCGGCCUGGUGCAGCAGGAGCCCGUCCUGUUCGCCACCAGCAUCCUGGAGAACAUCGCCUACGGCAAGGACGGCGUGACGGAGGAGGAAGUCGUCGAGGCGGCCAAGGUGGCCAACGUGCACGGCUUCGUCGGCGCGCUCCCCGACGGUUACAGGACGCCCGUCGGCGAGCGCGGCGUGCAGCUCUCCGGCGGCCAGAAGCAGCGCAUCGCCAUCGCCCGCGCGGUGCUCAAGGACCCGGCCAUCCUCCUGCUGGACGAGGCGACGAGCGCCCUGGACGCGGAGUCCGAGUGCGUGCUCCAGGAGGCGCUGGGGCGCAUCAUGAAGGGCCGGACGACCGUGCUGGUCGCGCACCGGCUGUCGACCAUCCGCUGCGUGGACUCCAUCGCCGUGGUGCAGGACGGGCGCGUCGUGGAGCAGGGCAGCCACGGCGAUCUCGUGUCGCGGCCGGACGGCGCCUACUCGAGGCUGCUGCAGCUGCAGCUGCACCACGGGUGA